Molecule: ribosomal RNA, 465 nt
Filed under: Granulicatella adiacens
Lineage: Bacteria; Bacillati; Bacillota; Bacilli; Lactobacillales; Carnobacteriaceae
Description: bacterial SSU rRNA
Rfam family: Bacterial small subunit ribosomal RNA
Source: RNAcentral
GACGAACGCUGGCGGCGUGCCUAAUACAUGCAAGUCGAACGAGAGCGACCGGUGCUUGCACUGGUCAAUCUAGUGGCGAACGGGUGAGUAACACGUGGGUAACCUGCCCAUCAGAGGGGGAUAACAUUCGGAAACGGAUGCUAAAACCGCAUAGGUCUUCGAACCGCAUGGUUUGAAGAGGAAAAGAGGCGCAAGCUUCUGCUGAUGGAUGGACCCGCGGUGCAUUAGCUAGUUGGUGAGGUAACGGCUCACCAAGGCCGUGAUGCAUAGCCGACCUGAGAGGGUGAUCGGCCACAUUGGGACUGAAACACGGCCCAAACUCCUACGGGAGGCAGCAGUAGGGAAUCUUCCGCAAUGGACGCAAGUCUGACGGAGCAACGCCGCGUGAGUGAAGAAGGUUUUCGGAUCGUAAAACUCUGUUGUUAGAGAAGAACAAGUGCUAGAGUAACUGUUAGCGCCUUGACG